Molecule: long non-coding RNA, 2447 nt
Organism: Capra hircus (goat)
Lineage: Eukaryota; Metazoa; Chordata; Mammalia; Artiodactyla; Bovidae
Source: Ensembl
CUGGCCUGUUGUCCCCCCGCAGUAGCUGCUGAAUGGAUGAGUGUUAGGGGCCAAGUGAUCCCUGAUAUAUGGGAGGGAAAGAGGAACCCUGGGCCUAGAGAGGUCGGCCAGCCAGAGCCAGGAGUAGGUUGUUCUAUCCGGUCGCCACCACCGUCACGUGAUCCUGAAAGCCUUCCUCGCGCCUGGAAUUCCUUCCACCCCUACUUCUCAAAGAUGCUGCGCACACUAAGACGGAACGCGAAAGUUCUUGGAGGGGUCCUGCGGCUGCUCCAGCUCCGGGACCUGGCUUCGCAAGGACUCCAUUUCGAACUCGGCUCCGGCUCGGUCUUCCCUCGACGCCCCCAGCGCCGCCCGGGCCCCCUCCAUCCUGUGCGCAGAGGAGCGGAGAGACGCCGAGCGGGACGCUCCUGGGCCCAGCGCUCUGGACUGUGCUGAUUUUUGAAAGUUAUGGCUUGGGCGGAGAGCGGUUGGCCAAGCCUGUAGAAAUCCUGGGACCUCAGUAAAAUCAGCGGGUCCAAAGGAAACGGGCCUGCUUGUGGAAAGGAGCAGAGCUGAGUAUCUGGGGAAGGAGCGGGACACCUGAGAGGUCGCCCCCAAGGCAGAAGUCGCAGGGACACCUACUCUGGAGGCCCGACUCCCACUCUGCGAACUCAAUAAAGACUGAGAGAUUAAUAAGCUUGAAAAUGUGUAUUUUCACCGGGACCAGUAAUCUAAAUACCGUUAAAAAUAUAUAGAUUCCUGGCGGACUCCACCUAGACCUACCGAAUCUCAUAAGGGGAUAAAGAGGCCAAUUUUCAACAAGCGCCCCAGGACUUCCCAGGUGGUGCUAGUGGUAAAGAACUUGUCUGUCAAGGCAGGAGACAUAAGAGACUCUAGUCUGAUCCCUGGGUCGGGAAGAUCCCCUGGAGUUGCUGCUAAGUCACUUCAGUCGUGUCCGACUUUGUGCGACCCCAUAGAUGGCAGCCCACCAGGCUCCCCUGUCCUGGGAUUCUCCAGGCAAGAACACUGGAGUGGGUUGCCAUUUCCUUCUCCAGUGCAUGAAAGUGAAAAGUGAAAGUGGUCGCUCAGUCGUGUCCGACUCUUAGCGACCCCAUGGGCUGCAGCCCACUAGACUCCUUCGUCCAUGGGAUUUUCCAGGCGAGAGUAUUGGAGUGGGGCGCCAUCGCCUUCUCGGCAAAUUAUGCUAAGAAAUUUAAAUAAAAAUUUUUGAAGAGGAAAAAACCUUGUAUUCUACAAGUCCCCUGCCACAAUUAUCUAAGCUUUUCAGUAAUGCAGCAGCAGUAUCAUUUCAAUGCUUUGUCAAACUAAUGGCUCCAGAAUACUAUAAGCCAGGCUUCAGAGCAAAAUUAAGAUUUUAGUUUUACUAGUUGAGCAUUUUGUAAGAAAUCACAACAUAAGUCUAAUAUAAACAUAUGUGCCUUGAAGACACUGCUAUCAGAUAAAAUGUAAACAGUUUCAAAUAUGAAUUAAACAAAAUUAUCCCCAGUGAGUGUGGGGAUACUAAGAAAAGUGUCCGUUUCUAUAAACAUCAAAAAGUAUUUUUAAUUAAUUCUUCACUGCAUAUAAAUGUCUGCUCUAUUUGAUAACUGCAGCAAAUACAAUAAACACAGUUAUCAAACAUCAGCCUGAACCAUAAAGAAAUCUUUAUAAACAAAGAAAUAAUAAAAUUCCUAAUAAUCUGAGAUACAGAAGUGAGAAGGAUUAGCAACUGAGUAUCUGUCUAUUGGUAUUUUUAAAAUUUUACUUAAGAGACCUCAAGGUUAACAUUUUAAAAUAAUUUGGCUACAUUACCAUGUAGUAUUUAAUAAGUUUAUUUGGGCUUAUACCAUGAAAGUAUCAUCUGACUAAUCAAAGAAUUUUAAAAUAAAAAUACUAGUAAUUUUGAUUUCUGUCAACAUAUCUGGCCCAAACCAUGUUUUUCAAAAGAAACUGGAUACAACAGCACCCACUGAAAAACAAAGGUGGGGAGAGGGGCUGUAAUUAAUAAGGAACCAAUAUGAACCAAAUCUCCCUACAACACAAGAAAUUAUUAAUCAAAUGUACUUCAGAUGUACUUUAUCUUUGGGGUUUCUGGGUAUGUCCUCACUAUAAAAAUAACCUAAGUUAAACAACUGCUCCGUUACACUGAUACUGGAUCCAAAUCAAAGAAUCAAGCCGACUCCUGAAGAUAUCCUCUGUGCCAGGCAAUGGGAUUACAAAGAGGCAUUUAAUUAAGACAAGCUCUCUACCCUCAAGGAGCCCAUCACUCUCCUAGAGAAGAGAGGGUAUUAAAUACAGUAACAACAAAAGGGGCAUGAUCCAAGUGCCAAAUGAAUGUCUAUAAUGGAUGGAAUACUAUCAAAUAGUAGUACUGCAGGGAUUCUAGACUAGAAUGACCACAGGACUGAAGAGGUUAGAGGAGGCUUUGUGCAAUACAUAGAAGCCAUUAUUUGAAGGAAAGACAGGCC